This 253-nucleotide ribosomal RNA is filed under the name uncultured bacterium. RNAcentral describes it as "partial 16S ribosomal RNA". It matches the Rfam family "Bacterial small subunit ribosomal RNA", at positions 524 to 776 of the family's 1533-position model. The record is from RNAcentral.
UACGGGGGGAGCAAGCGUUGUUCGGAUUUACUGGGCGUAAAGGGCGCGUAGGCGGCGUAACAAGUCACUUGUGAAAUCUCCGGGCUUAACCCGGAGCGGCCAAGUGAUACUGUUGUGCUAGAGUGCGGAAGGGGCUACUGGAAUUCUCGGUGUAGCGGUGAAAUGCGUAGAUAUCGAGAGGAACACCUGAGGUGAAGACGGGUUGCUGGGCUGACACUGACGCUGAUGCGCGAAAGCCAGGGUAGCAAACGGG